Long non-coding RNA from Pezoporus flaviventris, 479 nucleotides. RefSeq lists it as uncharacterized. The record is from RefSeq and is a predicted model, not a curated record. NCBI's taxonomy places the organism in Eukaryota, Metazoa, Chordata, Aves, Psittaciformes, Psittacidae. The transcript is spliced from 3 exons.
CUGGCUCUGCUGUUCCUUCUGGCGGGGCUGUGUCUGCUUCCUCCCCGCUAACACAGAGGCGCGGCACCCGGACCUGCAGCCGCCCCCAGGGGAUUGGUGGGCACCGGGGAAGGUUUAGCGGAGUGGACCGGGCUUUUUGUGAGGCUUCCCAGCUCCACCUCUGCGUGGUGGUGUAGGAUAUCUUACAACUACUAAAUCUUUUAUAUGGGCGUUUAGUGAGUCUUUAAGGGAUUGAGAGUCUCACUGCCUGACUUCCUCCGCUGGAGCUGCUUUGACAUCCUAGCAGGCUAUCAUAUUCAUCCAGGCUGCAGCUGAAGAGUUUUCUAAACCCAAUUAGUGCAAGAAUGCUAUGACCAAUGGAAAAAUGUUUGAUGCAUGCCAGAAAACAAAUCUUCCCAGCUCUUGGAAAUAUGUUCUGAAAACAAAUAAGGAUCACACAAGGAUUUUCAUGUUAAUAAAUACUUUUUUUCUUAGGAAAA